CCCUUAGAUGUUCUGGGCCGCACGCGUGCUACACUGAGUAAUUCAAUGGGUAAGGGAACGCUAGAGCAUUACCUAAUCUUGAAAUUUGCUCGUGAUGGGGAUCGACGGUUGCAAUUUUCCGUCGUGAACGAGGAAUACCUUGUAGGCGCAUGCCAUCAUCAUGCGCCGAAUACGUCCCUGCCCUUUGUACACACCGCCCGUCGCUCCUACCGAUUGAGUGAUCCGGUGAGGCUCUGGGACCUGGACGGAAAGAGCGUUUCGCUUGUUCUGUUUGGGAAACUUGGUCGAACCUUAUCAUUUAGAGGAAGGAGAAGUCGUAACA
Molecule: ribosomal RNA, 322 nt
Filed under: uncultured eukaryote
Lineage: Eukaryota
Description: partial 18S ribosomal RNA
Rfam family: Eukaryotic small subunit ribosomal RNA
Source: RNAcentral